Molecule: non-coding RNA, 742 nt
Organism: Pelobates cultripes (western spadefoot toad)
Lineage: Eukaryota; Metazoa; Chordata; Amphibia; Anura; Pelobatidae
Source: the annotation of a GenBank genome assembly
GGAGUGCAGAAUUAUUAGGCAAAUGAGUAUUUUGACCACAUCAUCCUCUUUAUGCAUGUUGUCUUACUCCAAGCUGUAUAGGCUCGAAAGCCUACUACCAAUUAAGCAUAUUAGGUAAUGUGCAUCUCUGUAAUGAGAAGGGGUGUGGUCUAAUGACAUCAACACCCUAUAUCAGGUGUGCAUAAUUAUUAGGCAACUUCCUUUCCUUUGGCAAAAUGGGUCAAAAGAAGGACUUGACAGGCUCAGAAAAGUCAAAAAUAGUGAGAUAUCUUGCAGAGGGAUGCAGCACUCUUAAAAUUGCAAAGCUUCUGAAGCGUGAUCAUCGAACAAUCAAGCGUUUCAUUCAAAAUAGUCAACAGGGCCGCAAGAAGCAUGUGGAAAAGCCAAGGCGCAAAAUAACUGCCCAUGAACUGAGAAAAGUCAAGCGUGCAGCUGCCACGAUGCCAUUUGCCACCAGUUUGGCCAUAUUUCAGAGCUGCAACAUCACUGGAGUGCCCAAAAGCACAAGGUGUGCAAUACUCAGAGACAUGGCCAAGGUAAGAAAGGCUGAAAGACGACCACCACUGACCAAGACACACAAGCUGAAACGUCAAGACUGGGCCAAGAAAUAUCUCAAGACUGAUUUUUCUAAGGUUUUAUGGACUGAUGAAAUGAGAGUGAGUCUUGAUGGGCCAGAUGGAUGGGCCCGUGGCUGGAUUGGUAAAGGGCAGAGAGCUCCAGUCCGACUCAGAUGCCAGCAAGG